GGAAAGAUAAGAGGGGAUGAUGGGAGGGAAGAGUAACAAAAGUGAAAACCAAACUAAAAACUUAAAUUUAUUUGAAAUUGUUUUCACUUGUGUUACUCCUCCUUUUCAUCUUCCCUUCUCAUCCUUACUC
Molecule: microRNA precursor, 130 nt
Filed under: Prunus dulcis (almond)
Lineage: Eukaryota; Viridiplantae; Streptophyta; Magnoliopsida; Rosales; Rosaceae
Description: sRNA ncRNA
Source: RNAcentral